This 83-nucleotide transfer RNA is filed under the name Bacteroidota bacterium. Its description in RNAcentral is "Bacteroidetes bacterium tRNA-Tyr". It matches the Rfam family "tRNA". From Rfam's summary of the family: Transfer RNA (tRNA) molecules are approximately 80 nucleotides in length. Their secondary structure includes four short double-helical elements and three loops (D, anti-codon, and T loops). The record is from RNAcentral. Lineage: Bacteria; Pseudomonadati; Bacteroidota. RNAcentral also lists the same sequence under 2 other names.
GGGGGGAUACCAAAGUGGCCAACUGGGGCAGACUGUAAAUCUGCUGUCGCUCGACUUCGAAGGUUCGAAUCCUUCUCCCCCCA